AAGGAAUGGUGGCACUGGCCUGUAAUGCCAGCUCUCUGGAGGCUGAGGCAGGAGGAUCGCCAUGACUUGGAGGCCAGCCUGAACUAUAUGCGGGGACCCUGUCUCAAACAAACAAAUGAGGAUGUCUGAAAUUCAGGGCACCAGGAGAUUGAGGCGAGGUCUGAGUGGAGUUUGCAGCAGCCAGAGGUGCAGGCCACGGCGGUCUAGAGAACUGAAACUCAGCUCCUGCAAGGCCCACUCCUUACAAGGCAGCAAGGCUGGCGAUAGGUUACGAGUAGCCCGCUUGCUCACAGAGGGACGAUGGCCCAGGCCCAAACCUGUACAAAGACCACCGCUUCCCUGCUCGCGCUCUCUCCCCGCCUUUCUGACCCGCUGUCCCAAACAAGUCUCCUGUCGGACCUCUCGGUGUGUGGCCUUGCUGUCGAGCGUCGCUGCCCCUCUUCAGGGAGGACACAGCACAGCCUCUCGGAGCCUGGGGAGGACGGGGCCUCCCUCCUGGGCCUCUUGUCUUCCUUGUGUCUCCAGUUCUGGGGGUUGAACCCAGGGUCUGGGACUCACUGGGCUCCACCCGGGACCUACGGGAGGGAGGGAGGGAGGGGAAUGGAUGGAUGGACGGACAGAUGGACAGGUGGACGGACAGAUUCUGUCUCUGCCGUGCUGCCCUCACAUCUGCGCCCGCCCAUUUCCGGAGGCCGUGGAACCUCCUGUCGAUGAGGUGGGGGGUGACUUGCUCACAGCAGGUGGGGCCCCCCUUGGAAGCUCCUUGGGCACCGUCACCGUGGGCCUAGG
This 789-nucleotide long non-coding RNA is filed under the name Fukomys damarensis (Damara mole-rat). RNAcentral describes it as "lncRNA (ENSFDAG00000027907.1)". The record is from RNAcentral. Lineage: Eukaryota; Metazoa; Chordata; Mammalia; Rodentia; Bathyergidae.